UACGUAGGGUGCAAGCGUUAAUCGGAAUUACUGGGCGUAAAGCGUGUGCAGGCGGUUUUGUAAGUCUGUCGUGAAAGCCCCGGGCUCAACCUGGGAAUUGCGAUGGAGACUGCAAGGCUUGAAUCUGGCAGAGGGGGGUAGAAUUCCACGUGUAGCAGUGAAAUGCGUAGAGAUGUGGAGGAACACCGAUGGCGAAGGCAGCCCCCUGGGUCAGGAUUGACGCUCAUGCACGAAAGCGUGGGGAGCAAACAGG
RNAcentral lists this ribosomal RNA (253 nucleotides) under uncultured bacterium. RNAcentral's name for it is "partial 16S ribosomal RNA". It matches the Rfam family "Bacterial small subunit ribosomal RNA", at positions 524 to 776 of the family's 1533-position model. The record is from RNAcentral.